Molecule: transfer RNA, 88 nt
Filed under: Enterobacter hormaechei
Lineage: Bacteria; Pseudomonadati; Pseudomonadota; Gammaproteobacteria; Enterobacterales; Enterobacteriaceae
Description: tRNA-Tyr
Source: RNAcentral
GGUUGUGUUCCCGAUCUGCCAAAGGGAGCAGACUGUAAAUCUGCCGUCUUCGACUUGGAAGGUUCGAUUCGUUACCCCUCCACCAUCA